This 84-nucleotide transfer RNA is filed under the name Candidatus Aminicenantota bacterium. Its description in RNAcentral is "Candidatus Aminicenantes bacterium tRNA-Leu". It matches the Rfam family "tRNA". From Rfam's summary of the family: Transfer RNA (tRNA) molecules are approximately 80 nucleotides in length. Their secondary structure includes four short double-helical elements and three loops (D, anti-codon, and T loops). Further hydrogen bonds mediate the characteristic L-shaped molecular structure. tRNAs have two regions of fundamental functional importance: the anti-codon, which is responsible for specific mRNA codon recognition, and the 3' end, to which the tRNAs corresponding amino acid is attached (by aminoacyl-tRNA synthetases). tRNAs cope with the degeneracy of the genetic code in two manners: having more than one tRNA (with a specific anti-codon) for a particular amino acid; and 'wobble' base-pairing, i.e. permitting non-standard base-pairing at the 3rd anti-codon position. The record is from RNAcentral. Lineage: Bacteria; Candidatus Aminicenantota.
GCCGAAGUGGUGGAAUUGGCAGACACGCUAGCUUGAGGGGUUAGUGCCCGCAAGGGCUUGGGGGUUCGAGUCCCCCCUUCGGCA